Molecule: long non-coding RNA, 3822 nt
Organism: Cygnus olor (mute swan)
Lineage: Eukaryota; Metazoa; Chordata; Aves; Anseriformes; Anatidae
Exons: 3
Source: RefSeq, a predicted model, not a curated record
AAAAGUCAGUGUAAACACCAUGCAUGAAUGGGAAACCCAAAACUGUCUGAGGAAGCAUUUACCCCAAACUGAUCUUGCUGCAGGGGGAAACAACCAUCAGACCUCAACUGAUCAUGCUAAAGAGGACAACCACCAUCAGCUGGAUUAAGUGGUAACCAGGGAAUGACAAAGAGAAUUUUGAAACAAAGAAGGCAUCAAUCUGAAAAGAUGUACAAAAGAAGCACAAAAAUUUGUUAAGGGAGUAAAUUUGUAAGACCUCAUUUGUAAGACCAAAAUUUGUAAGACCUCAGAGCAGGAACAGAGCAGCAGUGAAAACCCAAUCUAGCACUGACAGCGGUCACCCUGCUGGCAUCACACCUCUGCCCAGACCCAGUGCAGCAGCCUCCUGUCUGUGGGACUGCUGGUGACCUGCUGGGGUGCCUUUCCACUAGUGGGUGCGUUAGGUGGUUGUAGGGAGCAGCAUGGGCACCCCUAAAGCAGGAGUGGCCACAACCCCAGCAGGAGCAGGUUGUAAGCAGGGGAACCCACGUUCCCAGAAGUGACCCCCUUUGCUGGAAAGGGAGGGGUGGGUGUCUGUGUGUCUGGUAUGAAAACUUCUGGAGAUUAGUUAUAGAAGCAUGCCGAGGAGCUUGUAGGUAUUUAUUAGUGUCUUCUAAUUGUCUAACACUGUGGUUUAACUGUUGUGUUGCUGACAUUGGUCCUGAACGUAUAGUUCACUGAUUGUCGGUUAAUUACACAUUCUUCAAUCAAUACACCACUUCAGCCCUGAUUUGGUUUAACCAAAAAAAAAAAAAAAGGUUGUUUUUUAUUAUUUUUUUUAAAAAGGUUUUCCCCAGUCUUGACAGGAGAAGGCCUGUAUGCUCAGUCAUUGAGAAAGCAUUCACUUCAUGGUGAACUAGAGACGGAGCAGGGCACUGGAUGGUUUCUAGGGUGGACUGGCUGGCAGGAAGGUGGAGACAGAAAAGGGGGAUGCGUGACAGACAGUGUGCUGUGUGCCUGGUGUUUGAUAACCGGGGUAAAUACCGCUGGUGGACAGUAUAGAGUUGCCCUGGCUGAGCACACCCACCAGCAGUGAAACUUGCCAGCUAUCAACAUAGUUCUGGUGGAAGCAACGGCAACUUGUUAAGGCAGCAGUAGUCAAACCAUAUUGUCAGACUUUCUCUUUUUGGCUGAUGAGGGGAAAAUUACCCUAAUCUCACUGAAGAUAAUAUGAAAAUAAUUUCCUGCAGGAAAUCCAUCCUGUUUUCACACAGGGAAGAAGCAUUACCCAGGAACUAGCUAUGAAGUUGGCAAGAACAGCACAGUUCUGUGCCAAUGGGCACCCGGAGCCCUUACUGGAGCAGCAGCCAGCUUUCUGGUACCCGGCCACCAAGCUCUGGCAACAACACGAGCUCUUGAUGCAGCCAGCAUCUGCACGGCUGGGGGAGAUAAGGAGCCUGCAUCUGCAUGGGACUGAUUCAGCUUCACCCCUGCUGUUUGACACAAAAUGGCUCCUAUCGGAUAUAGCAGCAAUAUGCACCAUUAAAACAGGUCACCAUUAGUUUUCUGUCUUGGCAGCAAGACUGUAAGGCUUCAGUCUGUGCUUGCUCCUGACCGUGGUUUGUAAGGGGUUUCCAGUGGUAGGUUGUAUUUGGGCACCAGCCUGCUCAGCUGCCCCAGUUAGACCUCUGCUGUCUCCAGGGCCGGCGCGUCUGGGACUCCCAGCACUAAACCAAGUCAAAGAACGAGAACUAAACAAACUCCAAAACUAUUUUGAGGCCUGCUCUAAUACUCUUUAAGAAGACAAACAAGAUCAGAGUGGAAAACAUUUCUAUCUUUAGCCAUCAGGAGCAAGACUUAUCUGAGCAACUCCACACAGAAGCUGGCAAUGGGAAUGGCUGAGAUGACCAACUGAGGUGGCCUGCUCAUCACCCGUGGUGACCCAAUGACUCACAGUCCUUCCUCGCUGCACCAUGAGAAGAGACUAGCCACACAGAAUGACGCACUCUGCUAGGCACAUACUUAAUUUAUAAGUGCUAAUUAAUUGAAUAAUGGGUUGGUUAGCAAGGCCCCUGGUCUACACUGUAUUCAAAACACCAUCUGGAAAACGGCUGGUGAGGUUAGCAAGAUGGAUGCUCAGUUAAAUCUGAUACCUUUGUAAGAGAAUCUGUCCCAGAAUAACUGAUGAGACGGUAUUUAACGAUGACGAUGUGUAUUUGUUCUCCAGGAGAACUUAUGUGAGAUAGCAAACGUUUGGUCAUUGGGAUGGUGAUCAGUGUGCUUCAUUCCUGUGACAAACAGUGGAAUGAAUUUCCUGUUUUAAAUGGAAAGUAAACAGUCUACUCAAAGCACUUUAAAUGUCAUCAGUCUCUUAGAAAGUGCACAUUAGUAGGUUGUGACUCUGAAAGCAGUUUAGCUCUUCAGUGUAACUUGUGCCUCCACCUAGGUCCACUGGAUGCACACAGCUGAGAACAGCCAUCUUUACACCGAUAGCCUUGUUCCAGGUCAGGGAGUUUCUGACUUGCCUCUGAAUUGAAAGGCUGAAGCACUGGACAGAUAUUGCUGUUUCAGUUCUUCCACAUUUAUCUCAGGGAUCAAGUUUCCAGGAAUCUGCUGCAGUUGAGUUCCCAUAACAAAAUACCAUAGGAGAAGUCACCCACAUCAGGUGCUCACAACAGGCCUGCAAAUCCUUCUCUCCCUUCUUAGCUUCAAAGCACACUGAAGAGUAGAUGCACAGAUAUUGUUAUGGCCCGUUUUCUAACAAGUGGGUACAUGGCGGCACGUGGAAAGCUGGUGGCAGAAGAAAGAGCAGAAUGGGCAUUUUGCUGCCUUGGGUAUGGCUUCAGGCAGGUGACGGCACCAUCCUUGGUAGGUGGCAGGCACCAGAGAGGGGUGCAGCUGGUAACCUCGCACAGAGCCAUGUGCAGCUGCCCAAAGCCUGCAUCUGCUGGGCCCUGAGAGAGAACAAUGCACGUCUUGCCUCAUGUAUGGGUUUGACUGCAUGGAGAUACACCGGAAAGCUAAUCUGAAUGAACUUUUGCAAGCUAACAAAACAUUAAAAAACUUAAUUAAAUCACAUUAAAGCCCCACGUGGGCAUUUUGACUUGGAUUUAAAGGUGUGCUUAUUCUCUGCAGUAUACUUCACUUCCAAAGCAAGUUGAAGAACAUUUAAUUUAGUCCACCCUAAUUCUUACUGAAGGUGUCCACUAUAAUGCAGUUGAUUCACCUACGUGAAAUUCAUGCUUUUAGUUCACUGAGAUGACUUUUUCCUGAGCUUUCUUCUGUAAAGAAUCCCUUCCAGAGAGAGAAGAAGGGACUUGUUUAGGAUCAUCCCAAAGAAGCUCCAGGAGCAGAAGCUGGGGAGCCCAGACAUACACAAGCACUUAGGGAAGCAGCUUUUCUCUCCACCACCUUUCUGUCACUGCUGGAAAUGUUUUCUGUGGAUCUAGCCCUACUGUACUCUUUAUCUACCCCUACCACAAUCAUGCUUUGCUGCAGACCUGAACAGCAGAAGCAAGUCUCAGCAAUUAACAGACUGAUAACACUGCUGGGCAAAUGCUGACCGAUGAACACGGCAGUAACAUGCAGUGGCACAGGAGCAGGAAUGAGCUUUGGAGGGAGAAGAAAGGGAAGGAAAGGAUGAUGUCGGGAAGUGAAAGAGCAAUACCUGAAACCAGUAUCACCAAAGAAGACUCUGUGCCAUCAAGGCACCAUCCCAGGCACAUAGAAACCAAAUGACUUGUCCACUGGAAAAGAGCAAGUUAUUGGCAGAGAAAGCAUUAUUUUAAGAGAUGCUGACACCUCCUUAUCCCUUCGCUCAACUCCACGCAUGCUUCUGCUCUG